GGCAUGGGAAAUUGUCAACCUUUAAAUCAGACUCGUUGUCAAAAAAUGAAUUUUUGCAAGAUCUUGACAAAGAAGAGGAAAUUGCUUAUCCCGAUUUAAGUCUCAAGAUGACAUCUAUUGAUGAAGAUAGAGAUAUUUGUCAAGCUGAAUCAUCAUCAUCAAAUUUUAAAUUAACUGAAAGUUUAGAAAUUCCAAAUAGAAAAUUUUAUGAUCUUGAUGACAGUGUAACAACAUGGUCAGAUUUUUUGAAAAUUCAUUAUCAUCCUAGAAGUUUAUGUUUUAUUGAAGAUUAUGGUUGGUAAAAUGAAUUUAA
Molecule: long non-coding RNA, 313 nt
Organism: Centruroides sculpturatus (bark scorpion)
Lineage: Eukaryota; Metazoa; Arthropoda; Arachnida; Scorpiones; Buthidae
Exons: 4
Source: RefSeq, a predicted model, not a curated record